RNAcentral lists this unclassified non-coding RNA (231 nucleotides) under Hevea brasiliensis (rubber tree). Lineage: Eukaryota; Viridiplantae; Streptophyta; Magnoliopsida; Malpighiales; Euphorbiaceae. The record is from RNAcentral.
GUUUUGGCAGUCUACCCACCAAAUCUCUGUGAAAAUAAUGAAUAAUCAUUCGUACCCAAUUCUACAAAUAAAAUGAUAUAGCAUAUCUUAUCUUCAUAAUUAAUUAAGUGGAUUUAUUAGCUAACAAUUGUAAAGAAAUGUUGUUGGUAUUGGUAUGAAAAUCACCUGAGCAGAGCCAUUUCUGGCGAUGUAAGUAGAGUAGUCAUUGCCUGAAAGAGUGACAAGGGCCAC